RNAcentral lists this unclassified non-coding RNA (445 nucleotides) under Hevea brasiliensis (rubber tree). The record is from RNAcentral. Lineage: Eukaryota; Viridiplantae; Streptophyta; Magnoliopsida; Malpighiales; Euphorbiaceae.
GGUGUUUGGACUUUCUUUGUUAACGGACUUAACCACAUGGCACUUGUUUGUCACAACUCAAACCAUAUAACCUUACUUGAAAAUGGUGCAAGUCACAUGGUACUUUUUUGUACUUCUUCUUAGAUAAGAAUGGGUAGAUUUUGUCACUAUUUAAUCUAUAUCCAUGGGCACUUGGGCUGCAUGGAGUGAAAUCUGAAUGCUGAAUUAUCAAUGUAAUUGGAAUUGAAAGGUUGCAUCUUUUUUGUAUGUCUCUGAACUUGAAUAGUGGAAUUUCUUUUUAGCUCAUUUGGGCUCAGAUUUAUCUAAACGGAUUUGAACUGUCUGAAUAGUAGUAAGUCUCUUGAACAUGGUCCUAUAGUGUUCUUAUUGUAAAAUUUUGAUUAAAGCCAUCUGAAUUGCUGCAUGCAAGAAAUUUGCCUUAAAAAAGUAAAUAAAAUAACAAAAU